This 696-nucleotide ribosomal RNA is filed under the name uncultured bacterium. RNAcentral's name for it is "bacterial SSU rRNA". It matches the Rfam family "Bacterial small subunit ribosomal RNA", at positions 32 to 715 of the family's 1533-position model. The record is from RNAcentral.
AACGCUAGCUACAGGCUUAACACAUGCAAGUCGAGGGGAAACGAUAUUGGAAGCUUGCUUCCGAUAGGCGUCGACCGGCGCACGGGUGAGUAACGCGUAUCCAACCUGCCCAUCACUUGGGGAUAACCUUGCGAAAGUAAGACUAAUACCCAAUGAUAUCUCAAGAAGACAUCUGAAUGAGAUUAAAGAUUUAUCGGUGAUGGAUGGGGAUGCGUCUGAUUAGCUUGUUGGCGGGGUAACGGCCCACCAAGGCGACGAUCAGUAGGGGUUCUGAGAGGAAGGUCCCCCACAUUGGAACUGAGACACGGUCCAAACUCCUACGGGAGGCAGCAGUGAGGAAUAUUGGUCAAUGGGCGAGAGCCUGAACCAGCCAAGUAGCGUGCAGGAUGACGGCCCUAUGGGUUGUAAACUGCUUUUAUAAGGGAAUAAAGUGAGCCCCGUGAGGCUUUUUGCAUGUACCUUAUGAAUAAGGACUGGCUAAUUCCGUGCCAGCAGCCGCGGUAAUACGGAAGGUCCGGGCGUUAUCCGGAUUUAUUGGGUUUAAAGGGAGCGUAGGCCGGAGAUUAAGCGUGUUGUGAAAUGUAGAUGCUCAACAUCUGCACUGCAGCGCGAACUGGUUUCCUUGAGUACGCACAAAGUGGGCGGAAUUCGUGGUGUAGCGGUGAAAUGCUUAGAUAUCACGAAGAACUCCGAUUG